AGUGAACGCUGGCGGUAGGCCUAACACAUGCAAGUCGAACGGCAGCACAGUAAGAGCUUGCUCUUACGGGUGGCGAGUGGCGGACGGGUGAGGAAUACAUCGGAAUCUACUUUUUCGUGGGGGAUAACGUAGGGAAACUUACGCUAAUACCGCAUACGACCUACGGGUGAAAGCAGGGGAUCUUCGGACCUUGCGCGAUUGAAUGAGCCGAUGUCGGAUUAGCUAGUUGGCGGGGUAAAGGCCCACCAAGGCGACGAUCCGUAGCUGGUCUGAGAGGAUGAUCAGCCAAACUGGAACUGAGACACGGUCCAGACUCCUACGGGAGGCAGCAGUGGGGAAUAUUGGACAAUGGGCGCAAGCCUGAUCCAGCCAUACCGCGUGGGUGAAGAAGGCCUUCGGGUUGUAAAGCCCUUUUGUUGGGAAAGAAAAGCAGCAGGUUAAUACCCCGCUGUUCUGACGGUACCAAAAGAAUAAGCACCGGCUAACUUCGU
Molecule: ribosomal RNA, 491 nt
Filed under: uncultured bacterium
Lineage: Bacteria
Description: partial 16S ribosomal RNA
Rfam family: Bacterial small subunit ribosomal RNA
Source: RNAcentral